AGAGUUUGAUCCUGGCUCAGAACGAACGCUGGCGGCGUGCCUAACACAUGCAAGUCGAACGUGAUUGAGGAGCUUGCUCCUCAUGAAAGUGGCGCACGGGUGAGUAACGCGUAGAUAAUCUACCUGAUGAUCUGGGAUAACACUUCGAAAGGGGUGCUAAUACCUGAUAAGCUCACGGAGUCCUUGGAUUCUGCGAGAAAAGGGGGGGACCUUUACCGGCCUUCCGUCAUCAGAUGAGUCUGCGUACCAUUAGCUAGUUGGUAGGGUAAAGGCCUACCAAGGCGACGAUGGUUAGCCGGCCUGAGAGGGUGUACGGCCACACUGGCACUGAGAUACGGGCCAGACUCCUACGGGAGGCAGCAGUGGGGAAUUUUGCGCAAUGGGGGAAACCCUGACGCAGCAACGCCGCGUGAGUGAUGAAGGCCUUCGGGUCGUAAAGCUCUUUUAGUGGGGAAGAAGCCCCGCAGGACUAAUACUUCUGCGGUCUGACGGUACCCACAGAAAAAGUUCCGGCUAACUACGUGCCAGCAGCCGCGGUAAUACGUAGGGAGCAAGCGUUGUUCGGAAUUAUUGGGCGUAAAGAGCGCGUAGGCGGUUCGGUAAGUCUGACGUGAAAUCCCGGAGCUUAACUCCGGAACUGCGUUGGAUACUGCCGAGCUUGAGUGUGGGAGAGGAGAGUGGAAUUCCCAGUGUAGAGGUGAAAUUCGUAGAUAUUGGGAGGAACACCGGUGGCGAAGGCGGCUCUCUGGACCACAACUGACGCUGAGGCGCGAAAGCUAGGGUAGCAAACGGGAUUAGAUACCCUGGUAGUCC
Molecule: ribosomal RNA, 813 nt
Filed under: uncultured bacterium
Lineage: Bacteria
Description: bacterial SSU rRNA
Rfam family: Bacterial small subunit ribosomal RNA
Source: RNAcentral